GAGGCGCUCUCCGGGCGCCUGGGGGGCUGAGUGGGGCCAGCUGCCACGGGGGCCUGUCGGCACGUGGGCCAGCAAACCGUGCUGCGCCUUGAAGGACGCCCUUCGGAACACCGUGUGCCGGUCGCUUGCUGCUGGGCUGUGAGGUCUUUACACGGACUAAAAAGUCACACUCGUCGAAUCACCGCUGACCCCAGGAAACGGAAAGUGGUAGAAGAGCCUGUGUCUGCUUGGAGACAGGGUCUGGCGGCCCGGCCUGGAAGGAGCCACGCGUCCAUCUGCCCAGGACGUGCGUGGAUGUACAGCGUGGCCAUUCUGCGUGGCUGCGGAGCUCCGCGGCGUAGGUGAAGCUCCCCGGAAACACCACUGACAGACGCUCCGUGUGGACAGCUCCGUGUCCUUGUCAGGGCCUCACGCCACCUGCUGAGUGGGGUUAGCGGUGACCUCUGCGCCUGGAGCGGCAGGGACGGCCGCCUCCUUGGAAACCGCCCUUGGUCCAGGCAAAGCAGGUGGACAGACGUUUGAGAGGCCCAGGAAGGGUGUCCGCACUCGCCCUCCCUCCUCUGUUGCUCCGGCCCUGUGCUCCCCAUCUCCGAAAACACCGAAUGAGCGCAGAGACAGACAGGUGAGGGCUCACCCCCCGCCCCCGCCCUCCUAGCUCUGCGCCCAGCGCGAGGCAGCAGACGCCUUGCUCCCCCGAUCCACUUUCACACUUUGGGAGCAGUUAGAGACCCCCAUGGACACGCGGUGGAGGGACAUUGGGAAAGAACCCCACGAUCCAUAAAACACCCCGCGGCCAGCAGGGGGGAGCGCGUCACCCCUGCAACGGUCCCAGCCCGCAGGCAGCCGCAGGGUGCAUCUGAGUCAGGCUCAGGGGCAAGGUCGGGGGAGGUCCUGUUAGAAGCAGGGGCCGUGGUGACAGCAGACACGGGCCUCUGUGUCUGGGGCGGGCCUCACGGAUGCCCUCCUGCUCCACAGGCAUCCACGGGCCAGGGGCUUCAGCCGCAGAGUCGCAGGGGCUCGGGGCUCACACUGGAAGUCUGGCACGGCUCCGUGCUGGAGAAGCCCGCGUCUGGUCUGCACGAGGCCGGCUCCCCGCCGGGGGCACUAGCUUUCUCGGUCUGCUCCGGUGGCCGACCGGAAUGACCGUGAGCACACACUUGGCAUGGCCAUGGCUGUGUGGGGAGAGGAGCCCCGGUGUCCUCUGGCCUGUGACGGCCUGGCCUCCUCCGGCAGCCCAGCCUGGGUCCCCGCACGAGGGCCCUCAGUCGCCCCACGCCCCCCGGGGCUGGACGCCAGCCCAACAGGUGCAGAGACCUCACCCACGGCUGGGCCCGGUCUGAGGCACGGAGCAGCUCAUGCGAUCUCCUGUUCUGCACAUCCGUCCGCUGGAAAGGUCUCCUGCGUCUCGUGAACGCAGCUGGGGAGGCUCAGGGCUGGUUUCCUGUUUGUGUAAUGGCUGGAGGCUGCCUCCCCAGCAGACGACCCGACAAGAAAUUCACCUGAGGCUCUGGUUAGGCCAACAGCGGGUGGGAGGAGCCGUUUGGCCCAAGGACUGCUCCGCGGAGAGCCCACGGCUGCGGAGAGCCCACGGCUGCGGAGAGCCCAUGGGCGGGGCUGCUGCAUGACCAUGCCUGCGGCCGUGAGGAUCUCGGGACCCACCGCCCGUUCCCGCCAUCAGGCACGCGUGACCUUGUCUCGGGGCUCCAGGCCUUCGCAAAGCCCAUGGCUGGGAUCCCCUCCCCGGGGUCGGGGGCGUCUUCCUCCGCUCGUGGGGAGCGGGGCGACAUGUUAUGUUCAUGCCAUUGGCGGCCAGCGCCCCGCACUUUGCACCGCCCCAAGCUUGCGCGGUCGCACUCUGGCAAAGGCUGCCGGGAGCCCCGUCCCUCCGCGGCACCCGGCCCCUUGUGUAACAAACGGGAGGCCCGCGUCGGGGUCUCGCGGGCUGGGGGUCCGCGCCAGCCAUCUGCACACUGCGCAGGCUGUGAGGGACAGACACCUCGCCGCAGGGAAGAAAACAGGGCCGCGCGAGGCCGGGCGCUGCGGUGGCGCAUCCCGCGUCGUCUUCCUUCCAAGCGCGUGGAUGUGCUCUCCCUGACCCCGGCUUCCCGGGACCCUCCUUCCCGCCGGGGCUUGCCGGGCCCUCCCGCCAUCAGCUCUCCUGCCGGCGGGGAGUCUGGGUCCACCGCGCGGUGCAGGCGGGGCUGGGGCCCAGACAAGGGGCCGAUGAUCCAGACAGUUCAGAAACAGACGAGCGAUCGCUGCCCACGGGCCCAGGACCCAAACAGAGGGUCGGGAGCCCGCCGCUCUCUGGAUUCCGCUUCCUUGACGGGUUUCUAGCUGCUCUCCGGGAGCAAAUGCUCCCUCCGUGCGCCGCGGGUGAGGCCCUGUCCCUGUGGCAGAAGGAGAGAGGAAGACAGAACUGUAUCGGGGCCAAGGCCGCAGGCGGGAGAACAUGGGGCCACAGAAGCCACGGCUCAGCCAGAUGGGGAGAGAUCCCAGGUCUGGACAACCCGGCGUCCUGCUGCCGCCGUGGCCCCCGCCGGCCCGAGACCCCGGCCCAGGGCAGGGAGGGGCUGCAGGCCUGUGAUCCCCUCAGAGUCUCGGGGAGCUGCAGGGUCGGCCCCGCCUUGCAAAGCCGGACACCCGGGGGUGAAUGACCCGCCCCUGGGCCCUGGACCCUGCCGGCACCUGGGAAGUGGAGACAGCUCUGGGGGGUGAACCUCAACCCAGUGAGGCUGCAGCGUGUCGAGGGGGAGAGACUGACCGCCGGCCGGCCCGGCCCUGACGGCCGCAGGAGCGGGACUGGCUCUGCCAGCGCACAGGAAGCGGGGCCCAUGUCUGCCCCCGGGUGCAGAGCCCUCACCCCGCAGGAGAGGAGCCAAGGAGACCACCUUGUUGGAGGAGUCGAAGCCACUCGAGGAUCUUGGUGGUAAAAAGCAGGGGACAUCUCACAACGGUGGACACAGCCCCACAGGGGUCACGUAAUCGCAGGAGGUUCAAGUUUCAGGAACGGGGUGAUUCCCCAGCGCUGGGUGUGAGUCCUUGAACAUGGAGCUCGUUGCCUUCCUUGGCCGGGAGUCUGGGCUGCGCUGCCCGCCUGUCCCGUCCCCCUGAGCCGACAGCUGGGCUCGUCUUCCCGAGCCCCAUUUCCUGGCUCGUCUCCCGGGUCACCUGCCUUUGUCGGCACCCCUGGGGGCUCGCGAGCCUCAGGGCAGGGGAGGCGCUCCUGCCUGCGCUGGGCUGAGCUCCCGGGCUCGGGGGCCUGGAUCCGGAGCCGCCCGCUGUCCAAGAGGGACGUGGGUUGCUCGACCCUCCUGCUUCACUGCCCGUGAUGGUCUCCCCUGUCUCCAGCCCAGCCUUCCUGACCCCUCGGGCAGGCUCACGGGCUUAGGAAAACGCUGUCCUCACGCUGCGAUGUCGGGCUGUCAGCCGGGUUCAGGGCUUGCUCUCCGCGCCCGCUAGCGGGAGGUGGAGCCCCCAGCUUCGACUCUGCAGGUGGUUCGUGUUCCCCACUCUGCAGACAGCCCCGGAGGCUCCUCACCGCGUGGCAGCCAGGCCCGGGGCUGCGGUGCGGGAGGGGCGAGGCGGGACGCUGCCGACGGGGCUGCCACCCCCAACUCUUCUGGGCAGAUUGCGCCCCAGGUGGCCCGGGAUGCCCCACCGCCGCCUGCCUCAGCGGACCUGUGCGGGCAGGACGAGCCCCAGCCCUGGGCCUGAGUCUCACAGGCGUCUCGCUUUCAGGGCAAUCCCCGUUCUAAGAAUCUGGCCCUUUAGGGGAGGUUUUCUCUGGGACGUUUCCAGGCAUGGCACGGACCUCAGACAGAUUCUGCACCUGGUCUCUGUCAUGGACGUGGGGGCAGACACGGGGGACAAAAACCAGGCGGUUCUAGAUCCCAGAGCUUUGGCUGCCCCUGGGCUGCAGGCCGCGUGCCCUGCUCCCACCUGCGUGCCGAGCUCCCCUGCGGACCGGCUCUGUGCAAAGUAGCGGGGGCGUCCAGACUUGCCUGGGGGGCCUGGAGCAUCCUGUCUACUUAAUAAAUGUUGAUUCCCUUUGCAGCAAAUAAAACAACCCGCA
Molecule: long non-coding RNA, 4075 nt
Organism: Mustela erminea (ermine)
Lineage: Eukaryota; Metazoa; Chordata; Mammalia; Carnivora; Mustelidae
Exons: 4
Source: RefSeq, a predicted model, not a curated record